UACGUAGGUGGCAAGCGUUGUCCGGAAUUAUUGGGCGUAAAGAGCUCGUAGGCGGUGUGUCGCGUCGGCCGUGAAAACCUGCAGCUUAACUGUGGGCGUGCGGUCGAUACGGGCAUCACUGGAGUUCGGCAGGGGAGACUGGAAUUCCUGGUGUAGCGGUGAAAUGCGCAGAUAUCAGGAGGAACACCGAUGGCGAAGGCAGCUCGCUGGGACGGUACUGACGCUGGAGGCGCGGAAAGCGUGGGGGAGCGAAACAGG
This 258-nucleotide ribosomal RNA is filed under the name uncultured bacterium. RNAcentral's name for it is "partial 16S ribosomal RNA". It matches the Rfam family "Bacterial small subunit ribosomal RNA", at positions 524 to 776 of the family's 1533-position model. The record is from RNAcentral.